Molecule: ribosomal RNA, 197 nt
Filed under: uncultured bacterium
Lineage: Bacteria
Description: partial 16S ribosomal RNA
Rfam family: Bacterial small subunit ribosomal RNA
Source: RNAcentral
ACGCUCGACACCUACGGGAGCAGCAGUGGGGAAUAUUGCACAAUGGGGGAAACCCUGAUGCAGCGACGCCGCGUGAGCGAAGAAGUAUCUCGGUAUGUAAAGCUCUAUCAGCAGGGAAGAAAAUGACGGUACCUGACUAAGAAGCACCGGCUAAAUACGUGCCAGCAGCCGCGGUAAUCUGAGCGGGCUGGCAAGGC